Molecule: ribosomal RNA, 508 nt
Filed under: uncultured bacterium
Lineage: Bacteria
Description: partial 16S ribosomal RNA
Rfam family: Bacterial small subunit ribosomal RNA
Source: RNAcentral
GACGAACGCUGGCGGCGUGCCUAAUACAUGCAAGUCGAACGCUUCCUUCCUCCCGAGUGCUUGCACUCCAUUGGAAAGAGGAGUGGCGGACGGGUGAGUAACACGUGGGUAACCUACCCAUCAGAGGGGGAUAACACUUGGAAACAGGUGCUAAUACCGCAUAACAGUUUAUGCCGCAUGGCAUAAGGGUGAAAGGCGCUUUCGGGUGUCGCUGAUGGAUGGACCCGCGGUGCAUUAGCUAGUUGGUGAGGUAACGGCUCACCAAGGCCACGAUGCAUAGCCGACCUGAGAGGGUGAUCGGCCACACUGGGACUGAGACACGGCCCAGACUCCUACGGGAGGCAGCAGUAGGGAAUCUUCGGCAAUGGACGAAAGUCUGACCGAGCAACGCCGCGUGAGUGAAGAAGGUUUUCGGAUCGUAAAACUCUGUUGUUAGAGAAGAACAAGGACGUUAGUAACUGAACGUCCCCUGACGGUAUCUAACCAGAAAGCCACGGCUAACUACGUG